Long non-coding RNA from Oryza brachyantha (malo sina), 466 nucleotides. RefSeq lists it as uncharacterized. The record is from RefSeq and is a predicted model, not a curated record. Lineage: Eukaryota; Viridiplantae; Streptophyta; Magnoliopsida; Poales; Poaceae. The transcript has 5 exons.
CUGGGGAUUACGUAUGGGAGUCAUGAGUUCUAAAGCGCCAAAGAGCUGUGAAGUUAAGCUUGCUCUUUGGGCUAGCAUGCUCUGGAGUUUGAUGCUGAUAGCAUCCAUGAUACAGGUCAAAGCCACAGUGUUGUCGGUGUUUUUGUUGGCACUUAAUGAAGUCCUACCACAAUGAAGAAACCCUCAGGGUGGAGCAGCCUGUAAGUGGUACCUCGACGAAGAUAUAUCAGAGAUUAAUGGGUUCUUUGAUAGCUUAACCAGUGACCCUCCUAAAGUGCAGUGGAUAUCAGCAGGGGUUGAAUCUUUUCGUCCCUCGCAUCGGCCAGCACAUCUUAACCAAAAAACGCUUAACCAGUGACCCUCCUAAAGUGCAGUGGAUAUCAGCAGGGUUUGAAUCUUUUCAUCCCUCGCAUCGGCCAGCACAUCUUAACCAAAAAACGGUUGUGGAUCUCAAGAGCAUUGAUCC